ACUGCUCAGUAACACGUAGUCAACAUGCCCAGGGGACGUGGAUAACCUCGGGAAACUGAGGAUAAACCGCGAUAGGCCAAGAUUUCUGGAAUGAAUCAUGGUUUAAAUCUAUAUGGCCCCUGGAUUGGACUGCGGCCGAUCAGGCUGUUGGUGAGGUAAUGGCCCACCAAACCUGUAACCGGUACGGGCUCUGAGAGGAGGAGCCCGGAGAUGGGCACUUAGACAAGGGCCCAGGCCCUAUGGGGCGCAGCAGGCGCGAAACCUCUGCAAUAAGCGAAAGCUUGACAGGGUUACUCUGAGUGAUUUCCGCUAAGGAAGUCUUUUGGCACCUCUAAAAAUGGUGCAGAAUAAGGGGUGGGCAAGUCUGGUGUCAGCCGCCGCGGUAAUACCAGCACCCCGAGUGGUCGGGACGAUUAUUGGGCCUAAAGCAUCCGUAGCCGGUCCUGCAAGUCCUCCGUUAAAUCCACCCGCUCAACGGUUGGGCCGCGGGGGAUACUACAGGGCUAGGAGGCGGGAGAGGCAAGCGGUACUCGAUGGGUAGGGGUAAAAUCCACUGAUCCAUUGAAGACCACCAGUGGCGAAGGCGGCUUGCCAGAACGCGCUCGACGGUGAGGGAUGAAAGCUGGGGGAGCAAACCGGAUUAGAUACCCGGGUAGUCCCAGCUGUAAACGAUGCAGACUCGGUGAUGGGCUGGCUUCGUGCCAACCCGGUGCCGCAGGGAAGCCGUUAAGUCUGCCGCCUGGGGAGUACGGUCGCAAGACUGAAACUUAAAGGAAUUGGCGGGGGAGCA
RNAcentral lists this ribosomal RNA (790 nucleotides) under uncultured archaeon. RNAcentral describes it as "bacterial SSU rRNA". It matches the Rfam family "Archaeal small subunit ribosomal RNA", at positions 85 to 878 of the family's 1478-position model. The record is from RNAcentral.